Arabidopsis thaliana (thale cress) is the source of this 195-nucleotide small nuclear RNA. NCBI's taxonomy places the organism in Eukaryota, Viridiplantae, Streptophyta, Magnoliopsida, Brassicales, Brassicaceae. The record is from RefSeq.
GUCUCUUCCAAAAUCUUGUUAUUUCAAAGUGACCUAUCUAAUUUCAUGAUCACCUGUGGAUUCUCAUCAAAAGUUUUGGACCAAACUAAAUAAAUGCUCCCUCUCUCUUUCUUCUUACAGCUUGUACCACCAUUAAAUAGCCAGGGACCCUCUCAUCAAACCUUGUUCUUUUAGGAUAAUAAUAACACAGCAACA